AGGUCGAACGGUCUCUAGCAAUAGAGAUAGUGGCGCACGGGUGCGUAACGCGUAACCAACCUACCCGAAUCUGGGGGAUAGCCCGCCGAAAGGCGGAUUAAUACCGCAUAAAACGGCAGACCGGCAUCGGUUCACCGUUAAAGAUUUAUUGGAUUCGGAUGGGGUUGCGUGCCAUUAGCUAGUUGGCGGGGUAACGGCCCACCAAGGCGACGAUGGCUAGGGGAGCUGAGAGGCUGGUCCCCCACACGGGCACUGAGAUACGGGCCCGACUCCUACGGGAGGCAGCAGUAGGGAAUAUUGGGCAAUGGCCGAGAGGCUGACCCAGCCAUGCCGCGUGCAGGAUGAAGGCUUUCUGAGUCGUAAACUGCUUUUACCAGGGAAGAAAAAAGGGGAUGCGUCCUCUACUGACGGUACCUGGUGAAUAAGCACCGGCUAACUCCGUGCCAGCAGCCGCGGUAAUACGGAGGGUGCAAGCGUUGUCCGGAUUUAUUGGGUUUAAAGGGUGCGUAGGCGGCUUUUUAAGUCCGGGGUGAAAGCCCGUUGCUCAACAACGGAACUGCCCCGGAAACUGGAGAGCUUGAGUACAGACGAGGGUGGCGGAAUGGACGGUGUAGCGGUGAAAUGCAUAGAUACCGUCCAGAACCCCGAUUGCGAAGGCAGCUGCCUAGACUGUAACUGACGCUGAGGCACGAAAGCGUGGGGAGCGAACAGGAUUAGAUACCCUGGUAGUCCACGCCGUAAACGAUGGAUACUCGCUGCGGGCGAUAGACGGUCCGUGGCUUAGCGAAAGCGUUAAGUAUCCCACCUGGGGAGUACGCUCGCAAGAGUGAAACUCAAAAGAAUUGACGGGGGCCCGCACAAGUGGUGGAGCAUGUGGUUUAAUUCGAUGAUACGCGAGGAACCUUACCUAGGCUAGAAUGCGCGUGACCGGUCCAGAGAUGGACCUUUCCUUCGGGACAC
RNAcentral lists this ribosomal RNA (960 nucleotides) under uncultured bacterium. RNAcentral's name for it is "bacterial SSU rRNA". It matches the Rfam family "Bacterial small subunit ribosomal RNA", at positions 59 to 1029 of the family's 1533-position model. The record is from RNAcentral.